RNAcentral lists this long non-coding RNA (393 nucleotides) under Lathyrus oleraceus (garden pea). RNAcentral describes it as "Pisum sativum (pea) long non-coding RNA (PSAT_LNC018863)". The record is from RNAcentral. Lineage: Eukaryota; Viridiplantae; Streptophyta; Magnoliopsida; Fabales; Fabaceae.
AUCUAUGCAACACAGAUGACCAUUAAUAUGCAUUUUAGUUGAAUGUAAGUAGAUUAUGAUAAAAUAUUAUUCUAACCAAGAUUCAAAUUAGAAUUUUUCCAAACAAUCUCAUAAUAUGAUGUUGGUAGCCCGAAAUCAAGGCACAUAAAAGAAAUUCCCUUCUCUUCCACGCAUUGCAAAUUAAUUUCAAGAUGCAUUACUCUCUCUCUCUCCCAUUCCCACCGAAAGAAAUCCUUGAAUUCAUGUGAACAUCCUUAUCACAUGAUAUAUCUACUGUUCUUUCUGAUUGGCUCUAUGUCAUGCCACUGUAGAAUUAGAAUCCAUUGAAAAUUUUGGCCUGCAAAUAUUUUACGUCACUCCCUUCACUGUUGUUUCUCUUUUGCUGCCUCUUUU